This 249-nucleotide ribosomal RNA is filed under the name uncultured bacterium. Its description in RNAcentral is "partial 16S ribosomal RNA". It matches the Rfam family "Bacterial small subunit ribosomal RNA", at positions 524 to 776 of the family's 1533-position model. The record is from RNAcentral.
UACGAAAGGAGCAGGUGUUAUUCAGAUUAACUGGGCGUAAAGGGCACAUAGGUGGUUUAUGUGUAUUAUUAAAUUGUAAAGCAUAACUUUAUAACGUAUUACAGACAACAAAACUAGAGUUAGGUAGAGGGUAGUAGAAUUUCUAAUGUAAAGGUGAAAUGCGCAGAUAUCAGGAAGAACACCGGUGGCGAAGGCGGGUCUCUGGGCCGAUACUGACGCUGAGGAGCGAAAGCGUGGGGAGCGAACAGG